Molecule: ribosomal RNA, 334 nt
Filed under: uncultured eukaryote
Lineage: Eukaryota
Description: partial 18S ribosomal RNA
Rfam family: Eukaryotic small subunit ribosomal RNA
Source: RNAcentral
CCCUUAGAUGUCCGGGGCCGCACGCGCGCUACACUGAAGGAAUCAGCGUGGCUUUCUCCCUGACCCGAAAGGGUUGGGAAACCCGUUGAAUCUCCUUCGUGAUAGGGAUUGGGGCUUGAAAUUGUUCCCCAUGAACGAGGAAUUCCCAGUACGCGCGAGUCAUAAGCUCGCGUUGAUUACGUCCCUGCCCUUUGUACACACCGCCCGUCGCUACUACCGAUUGAACGGUUUAGUGAGGGCCUCGGAUUGGUCUCGGCCCGCUCUUUACCGGGCGGCGCCGUUGGUCGAGAAGACGCUCGAACUUGAUCGUUUAGAGGAAGUAAAAGUCGUAACA